Molecule: long non-coding RNA, 495 nt
Organism: Hypanus sabinus (Atlantic stingray)
Lineage: Eukaryota; Metazoa; Chordata; Chondrichthyes; Myliobatiformes; Dasyatidae
Exons: 3
Source: RefSeq, a predicted model, not a curated record
GCGCGAGUGAUGUCAGCAUCGAGCGCACACUUUAAAAGGCAGGACUUGUUUUCAGAACGGGCAGCGGAGUCCGUGGAAGCAGAGUCCUGGGCUUUGGCUAAGUGGGCUUCGGCGUAAGGGGACUUCGGUAAGGCUGUGUGAUUGCUCGCUGAGGGGAAGAAGAUGAGCAUCUGAUGGUGGACCAGGUCAGGCCCAUCAUGGACGCAGCUCUCCCCACCACUGACGGCAGCUACAGCAAAUGUUGCCUGAGGAGGACGGCAUCUACCCGAUCCGGAACAUGCCCUCGUCUCACAGCUACCAACGAAGGGAGGAACGCAAUAGACGGCCGAUGCUGGAAUCCACAGCAACAGCAAACUGCUGGAGGAACUCAUCAGGUCGAGCAGCACCCGUGGGAGGAAAGACAGUGUUGGCAUUUCAGAUCAAACCCGUGCACGAGGUCUGAAAAUGGAGAAGUGAGACAGCCAAAGAGAGGAAGUGAAGUGGUGGGAAAGGAGU